CAAAUGGCUGUCAUAGCAGCCAUCAACAGUAACUUAAGGUCUUCUU
This is a non-coding RNA of Solanum tuberosum (potato), 46 nucleotides long. The record is from Rfam. NCBI's taxonomy places the organism in Eukaryota, Viridiplantae, Streptophyta, Magnoliopsida, Solanales, Solanaceae.